CGGGGCUCCGUACCGUAGGACACACCUCAUUCAAUGUGUUUUCUUUAUUUUCAUGACUAUUUACAUUGUAGAUUCUCAAAAACAAUGAAUGAACACGUGGAACUAUUUACUUGACAAAAACUGUGAAAUAACUCUAAAUAUGCAUAUUUUACACAUACGGUAGGGGAGACUGGGGACAGUUGCAACAGGGGACGGUUGCAACAAGCCUUAUUUGUCUAAUCAGUAACAUGCUAGAGUGAUGACCUCACACUGCACAUGCUCAGUUAGACCCUCUACCCUCUCGCCAAGAAGAAAGCGGCCAUAUUGUGCAUCUGGUGCAUCAGCUUCUAUCAAGACAAAGUUGUUUUGGAGAGAGAAGACCAACAAGCUGCAGGACUUCCAGCUAUGCGGCACAAGAUCCCACCCUCACUCUCAUGGAAGUCCAGAUGCCUGAGCCACCUCAACUGGCUCCUCUCCAUGUGGAGGAGCAGUGGUUCAACUCUGAUCUCCUCCUAGAUGACCCUAUCUCUUAGGGUGAGUCCAUCGA
Molecule: long non-coding RNA, 526 nt
Organism: Dunckerocampus dactyliophorus (ringed pipefish)
Lineage: Eukaryota; Metazoa; Chordata; Actinopteri; Syngnathiformes; Syngnathidae
Exons: 3
Source: RefSeq, a predicted model, not a curated record